GGGUCAGUAGGUUGGUCGUGCCACCGGUACGUACUGGUCUCACUGCUUCCUCCUUCCCGAAGAACCGUAAUGCCAUUAAUUUGGUGUUGCGGGGAAACAGGACUGUUACUUUGAAAAAAUUAGAGUGUUUAAAGCAAGCUAACGCUUGAAUACAUUAGCAUGGAAUAAUGAAAUAGGACGAUCGAUCCUAUUUUGUUGGUUUCUAGGAUUGACGUA
RNAcentral lists this ribosomal RNA (216 nucleotides) under Glomeromycotina sp. RNAcentral's name for it is "partial small subunit ribosomal RNA". The stretch from base 75 to 216 matches the Rfam family "Eukaryotic small subunit ribosomal RNA", at positions 721 to 864 of the family's 1831-position model. Lineage: Eukaryota; Fungi; Glomeromycota. The record is from RNAcentral.